RNAcentral lists this ribosomal RNA (465 nucleotides) under Vreelandella stevensii. RNAcentral describes it as "partial 16S ribosomal RNA". It matches the Rfam family "Bacterial small subunit ribosomal RNA", at positions 338 to 795 of the family's 1533-position model. The record is from RNAcentral. Lineage: Bacteria; Pseudomonadati; Pseudomonadota; Gammaproteobacteria; Oceanospirillales; Halomonadaceae.
CCUACGGGUGGCAGCAGUGGGGAAUAUUGGACAAUGGGGGCAACCCUGAUCCAGCCAUGCCGCGUGUGUGAAGAAGGCCCUCGGGUUGUAAAGCACUUUCAGUGAGGAAGAACGCCUGGUGGUUAAUACCCAUCAGGAAAGACAUCACUCACAGAAGAAGCACCGGCUAACUCCGUGCCAGCAGCCGCGGUAAUACGGAGGGUGCGAGCGUUAAUCGGAAUUACUGGGCGUAAAGCGCGCGUAGGUGGCUUGAUAAGCCGGUUGUGAAAGCCCCGGGCUCAACCUGGGAACGGCAUCCGGAACUGUCAAGCUAGAGUGCAGGAGAGGAAGGUAGAAGUCCCGGUGUAGCGGUGAAAUGCGUAGAGAUCGGGAGGAAUACCAGUGGCGAAGGCGGCCUUCUGGACUGACACUGACACUGAGGUGCGAAAGCGUGGGUAGCAAACAGGAUUAGAUACCCCAGUAGUC